AUAUCAAUAAGCGGAGGAAAAGAAACCAACAGGGGAUUGCCCCAGUAACGGCGAGUGAAGCGGCAACAGCUCAAAUUUGAAAUCUGGUCCCUAGGGCCCGAGUUGUAAUUUGCAGAGGAUGCUUUUGGCGCGGUGCCUUCCGAGUUCCCUGGAACGGGACGCCAUAGAGGGUGAGAGCCCCGUCUGGUCGGACACCAAGCCAGUGUAAAGCUCCUUCGACGAGUCGAGUAGUUUGGGAAUGCUGCUCUAAAUGGGAGGUAUAUGUCUUCUAAAGCUAAAUAUUGGCCAGAGACCGAUAGCGCACAAGUAGAGUGAUCGAAAGAUGAAAAGCACUUUGAAAAGAGGGUUAAAAAGUACGUGAAAUUGUUGAAAGGGAAGCGCUUAUGACCAGACUUGGGCCCGGUGAAUCAUCCAGCGUUCUCGCUGGUGCACUUUGCCGGGCUCAGGCCAGCAUCAGUUCGCCGUGGGGGAUAAAAGCUUCGGGAACGUGGCUCCCUCGGGAGUGUUAUAGCCCGUUGCAUAAUACCCUGUGGCGGACUGAGGUUCGCGCUCCGCAAGGAUGCUGGCGUAAUGGUCAUCAGCGACCCGUCUUGAAACACGGACCAAGGAGUCGUCUUCGUAUGCGAGUGUUCGGGUGUUAAACCCCUACGCGUAAUGAAAGUGAACGCAGGUGAGAGCUUCGGCGCAUCAUCGACCGAUCCUGAUGUUCUCGGAUGGAUUUGAGUAAGAGCAUACGGGGCCGGACCCGAAAGAAGGUGAACUAUGCCUGUAUAGGGUGAAGCCAGAGGAAACUCUGGUGGAGGCUCGCAGCGGUUCUGACGUGCAAAUCGAUCGUCAAAUAUGGGCAUGGGGGGCGAAAGACUAAUCGAACCUUCUAGUAGCUGGUUUCCGC
Molecule: ribosomal RNA, 892 nt
Filed under: Tolypocladium sp.
Lineage: Eukaryota; Fungi; Ascomycota; Sordariomycetes; Hypocreales; Ophiocordycipitaceae
Description: partial large subunit ribosomal RNA
Rfam family: Eukaryotic large subunit ribosomal RNA
Source: RNAcentral